RNAcentral lists this ribosomal RNA (620 nucleotides) under uncultured bacterium. RNAcentral's name for it is "bacterial SSU rRNA". It matches the Rfam family "Bacterial small subunit ribosomal RNA", at positions 338 to 944 of the family's 1533-position model. The record is from RNAcentral.
CCUACGGGAGGCAGCAGUGGGGAAUUUUGGACAAUGGGCGAAAGCCUGAUCCAGCAAUGCCGCGUGCAGGAUGAAGGCCUUCGGGUUGUAAACUGCUUUUGUACGGAACGAAACGGUUCUUUCUAAUAAAGAGAGCUAAUGACGGUACCGUAAGAAUAAGCACCGGCUAACUACGUGCCAGCAGCCGCGGUAAUACGUAGGGUGCAAGCGUUAAUCGGAAUUACUGGGCGUAAAGCGUGCGCAGGCGGUUAUGUAAGACAGUUGUGAAAUCCCCGGGCUCAACCUGGGAAUUGCAUCUGUGACUGCAUAGCUAGAGUACGGUAGAGGGGGAUGGAAUUCCGCGUGUAGCAGUGAAAUGCGUAGAUAUGCGGAGGAACACCGAUGGCGAAGGCAAUCCCCUGGACCUGUACUGACGCUCAUGCACGAAAGCGUGGGGAGCAAACAGGAUUAGAUACCCUGGUAGUCCACGCCCUAAACGAUGUCAACUGGUUGUUGGGUCUUCACUGACUCAGUAACGAAGCUAAACGCGUGAAAGUUGACCGCCUGGGGAGUACGGCCGCAAGGUUGAAAACUCAAAAUGAAAUUGACGGNUGAGACAGCGAGAGACACGAGGGAGGAGG